CCUACGGGAGGCAGCAGUGGGGAAUAUUGCACAAUGGGCGAAAGCCUGAUGCAGCGACGCCGCGUGAGGGAUGACGGCCUUCGGGUUGUAAACCUCUUUCAGUAGGGAAGAAGCGAAAGUGACGGUACCUGCAGAAGAAGCGCCGGCUAACUACGGGCCAGCAGCCGCGGUAAU
RNAcentral lists this ribosomal RNA (174 nucleotides) under uncultured Arthrobacter sp. Its description in RNAcentral is "partial 16S ribosomal RNA". It matches the Rfam family "Bacterial small subunit ribosomal RNA", at positions 338 to 524 of the family's 1533-position model. The record is from RNAcentral. Lineage: Bacteria; Bacillati; Actinomycetota; Actinomycetes; Micrococcales; Micrococcaceae.